Molecule: ribosomal RNA, 3120 nt
Filed under: Gossypium barbadense (sea-island cotton)
Lineage: Eukaryota; Viridiplantae; Streptophyta; Magnoliopsida; Malvales; Malvaceae
Description: eukaryotic LSU rRNA
Rfam family: Eukaryotic large subunit ribosomal RNA (bases 842-3120)
Source: RNAcentral
CCUACCGAUUGAAUGGUCUGGUGAAGCGUUCGGAUCGCAGCGACGUGGGCGAUUCGCUGCCCUCGACGUCACGAAAAGUCCAUUAAACCUUAUCAUUUAGAGGAAGGAUAAGUCGUAACAAGGUUUCCGUAGGUGAACCUGCAGAAGGAUCAUUUUCGAAACCUGCCUAGUAGAGCGACUUGUGAACGCGUUGUAAAAAACACCGGAAGUGUCGCGGGUGCAUCGUCGCCUCUCACCACCCCUGCGUGUCGGAGCGGCCAGCCUUUUUGUCCCUUUUCCCAUUAGGUGGGGUGACAUGUCAAGAUCAACCUCUUCGAUGCAAAACGAACAAACCCCUGGCACGAAUGUAGCUAAGGAAUCGAAAUGAAAAAAAGGGACACAUCUUCUGUCGCAACACCGUUCGUGGUGUUAGUGCUUGAGUGAUGUUGUUCUUUUGUCACAAAAUGUAUAGAAUGACUCUUGGCAAUAGAUAUUUCGGCUCUUGCAUCGAUGAAGAACGUAGCAAAAUGCGAUACUUGGUGUGAAUUGAAAAAUCCCGUGAACCAUCGAAUCUUUGAACGCAAGUUGCACCCCAAGCCAUUAGGCCGAGGGCAUGUCUGCCUAGGUGUCACGCAUCGUCACCCCUAUCCAACCCUAAUCCCUCGAGACUCGGUUAGAUCGUGGGUAGAAAUUGGCCUCCUGUACGCUCACAGCCAGCAAUUGGCCUAAAUUCAAGUCCUCGAUGACAUCAUCAUUAUGACUAUUGGUGGUAAUGCUAUAAGCAACCUCAUUCGGAGUCGUGCACGUUCGUCGAUCGUGACCCUUGAACCUUUUCGGCAUCGCAAGGACAGUGCUCAUAUCGUGACCCUAGGUCAAGCAGGAUUACCCGCUGAGUUUAAGCAUUUCAAUAAGUGGAGGAAAUGAAACUUACCAGGAAUCCCCUAGUAACGAUAAACAAAUCGGGAAAAGGCCAGCUUGAGAAUUAAGCGCCAUAGAUGUCUGAGUUAUAGUCUGGAGAAGCGUCCUCUGUGGCAGACUGGGCCCAAGUCCCUUGGAAAGAGGCGCCGGAGAGGGUGAGAGCCCCGUCGUGCCCUGACACUGUCGCACCAUGAGGCGUUGUCUACGAGUCGGGUUGUUUGGGAAUGUAGCCCUAAUCAGGCGAUAAAUUCUGUCCAAGGCUAAAUAUGCUAAGGAGUGUGUAACAACUCACCUAUCGAAUCAACUAGCACCCGAAAAUGGAUGACGCUUAAGCGCACGACUUAUACCUGGCCGUCGGGGCAAGGGCCAGGCCCUGAUGAGUUGGAGGGCGCAACGGUCGCCGUAAAACCCUAGGCGUGAGCCCAAACAGAGCGGCCGUUGGUGCAGAUCUUGGUGCUACUAGAAAAUAUUCAAAUGAGAACUUUGAAGGCCGAAAAGGGGCAAGGUUCCAUGUGAAUGGCACUUGCACAUGGGUUAGUCGAUCCUAAGAGACAGGGGGAAACCCGUUCGAUAGUGCGCUCAGUACGAGCUUCGAAAGGGAAUUGGGUUAAAAUUUUUAAACCAGGACACGACAGCUGACGGCAACAUUAGAGAGUCCGAAGAUGUCAGCGGGGGCCUCGGGAAUAGUUAUCUUUUCUGUUUAACGGCUUGCUUACCCUGGAAACGGUUCAGUCGGAGGUAAGGUCCAGUGGUCGGAAGAGCACCACACGUUGCGUGGUGUCCGGUGUACCCUCGGUGGCCCUUCAAAAUCCAGAGGGCCGAGUGCCAUCCGUACUUGGUCGUACUACUAACUGCAUCAGGUCUCCAAGGUGAAUAGCCUCUGGUCAAUGGAACAAUGUAGGCAAGGGAAGUCAGCAAAAUGGAUCUGUAACCUCGGGAAAAGGAUUGGCCCUGAGGGCUGGGCACAGGGCUCCCGGUCCCGAACCUGUCAGCUGCUGGUGUACUACUCGAGCUACUCCCGCGGUGAGAGUGGGUCACUGCGUGUCGACCGGGGAACGGACUGGGAACGGCUCCCUCGGGGGCCUUCCCCGAGUGACGAACAGUUGACUCAGAACUAGAACGGACAAGGGGAAUUUGACUGUUUAAUUAAAACAAAGCAUUGCGACGGUCCCUGUGAUGCUCACGCAAUGUAAUUUCUACCAGUGCUCUGAAUGUAAAAGUGAAGAAAUUCAACCAAGCGCGGGUAAACAGCGGGAGUAACUAUGUCUCUCUUAAGGUAGCCAAAUGCCUCGUCAUAUAAUUAGUGAUGCGCAUGAAUGGAUUAAUGAGAUUCUCACUAUCCCUGUCUACUAUCCAGUGAAACCAAAACCAAGGGAACGGGCUUGGCAAAAUCAGUGGGGAAAGAAGACCCUGUUGAGCUUGACUCUGGUCCGACUUUUUAGAAAUGACUUGAGAAGUGUAGGAUAAGUAGGAGCUCUCGAGCAAAAUUGAAAUACCACUACAUUUAAACGUUAUUUCACUUAUUCCGUAAAUCAAAAAUGGGGUACAGCCCCUCUUUUUAGACCCAAGGUUGGCUACGAUCGGCCGAUCCAGGAGGAAGACAUUGUCAGGUGGGGAAUUUGGUUGAGGUGGUACAUCUGUUAAAAGAUAACGCAGGUGUCCUAAGAUGAGCUCAAUGAGAACAAAAAUUUCGUGUGAAACAAAAGGGUAAAAGCUCGUGUGAUUCUGAUUUCCAGUACGAAUACAAACUGUGAAGCGUGGCUUAUCGAUCCUUUAGACCUUCAAAAUUUGAAGCUAGAGGUGUCAGAAAAGUUACCACAGGGAUAACUGGCUUGUGGCAGCCAAGUGUUCAUAGGCAGAAUUCACCAAGUGUUGGAUUGUUCACCCGCCAAUAGGGAACAUGAGCUGGGUUUAGACCGUCUUGAGAUAGGUUAGUUUUACCUUACUGAUGGCCGCGUCGAAAUAGUAAUUCAACCUAGUACGAGAGAAAUCAUUGAUUCGUACAAUUGGUCAUCGUGAUUGGUUGAAAAGCUAGUGGCACGAAGCUACCGUGCACUGGAUUAUGACUGAACGCCUCUAAGUCAGAAUUUGGGCUAGAAGAGACGCACGCGCCUGUCGCCCGAUUGCCGACCUGCAAUAGGGGCCUUUGGCCCCCACGGGCACGUGUCGUAGGUGCAGCGACCGUGGCAGACAAGUCACGGGCGCCUUCUCGGAGCGUAAUUC